GAUCAAGUGUCUUAAGGGCAAUUGGUGGAUGCCUUGGCAUGCACAGGCGAUGAAGGACGUGAUACGCUGCGAUAAGCUACGGGGAGGUGCGAAUACCCUUUGAUCCGUAGAUCUCCGAAUGGGGAAACCCACCUAAGGUACUUGGAAAAUCAGAGCAGCAGGGCAACUGACGCGGCAAUCCCAAAAGGAUUGAGCGUGGGGCGACGAUCUCUUUGGGAUCGCGCUGUUUUUGCUGCUGUGGUUUCCAAGUAUCGAUAAUAGGUAACUUAUCCUGAAUACAUAGGGAUAAAGUGGCGAACGCGGGGAACUGAAACAUCUAAGUACCCGUAGGAAAGGACAUCAACCGAGACUCCGGAAGUAGUGGCGAGCGAACCCGGACCAGGCCAGCGGCGAUUGAGAGACAAGCGGAACCUUCUGGAAAGUUGGGCCAUAGCGGGUGACAGCCCCGUACGCGUAAUGCGAUCAAUCGUCCUUGAGUAAGGCGGGACACGUGAAAUCCUGUCUGAAAUUGGGAGGACCACCUUCCAAGCCUAAGUACUCGUGCAUGACCGAUAGCGAACUAGUAC
This 566-nucleotide ribosomal RNA is filed under the name Mesorhizobium sp. Its description in RNAcentral is "partial 23S ribosomal RNA". It matches the Rfam family "Bacterial large subunit ribosomal RNA", at positions 1 to 501 of the family's 2925-position model. Lineage: Bacteria; Pseudomonadati; Pseudomonadota; Alphaproteobacteria; Hyphomicrobiales; Phyllobacteriaceae. The record is from RNAcentral.